Molecule: ribosomal RNA, 362 nt
Filed under: uncultured bacterium
Lineage: Bacteria
Description: bacterial SSU rRNA
Rfam family: Bacterial small subunit ribosomal RNA
Source: RNAcentral
AACGAACGCUGGCGGCAGGCCUAACACAUGCAAGUCGAACGCCCGUAGCAAUACGGGAGUGGCAGACGGGUGAGUAACGCGUGGGAACGUGCCCUUCGGUUCGGAAUAACUCAGGGAAACUUGAGCUAAUACCGGAUACGUCCGUAAGGAGAAAGAUUUAUCGCCGAAGGAUCGGCCCGCGUCGGAUUAGCUAGUUGGUGAGGUAACGGCCCACCAAGGCGACGAUCCGUAGCUGGUCUGAGAGGAUGAUCAGCCACACUGGGACUGAGACACGGCCCAGACUCCUACGGGAGGCAGCAGUGGGGAAUCUUGCGCAAUGGGCGAAAGCCUGACGCAGCGACGCCGCGUGAGGGAUGACGGCC